ACACUGAAAGUUUCUCUGCUUUGGGCCAGCAGGAAAUUCCAGUUGCUUCAUUCACCGGAGCCAGUUAAGCUGCUGAAAUGAAAUGGAUCACCGGAGAGAUCACUAUAUCAGGACAUAGACUUGACUUUCAGGGUUGGAGGAAGCCGGACAAAGAUGAAUGGGAUUCAGAGCCUGAACUCAAGGUCAACGUCUUCUGAAUCACAAAGAGCUGGUGGGUCAGUCUGGGAGAAGAAAGAAAAUUCUGCGCCAAAUGGGAAAACCCUUAAAGUCUGCAUAGUUUUGCUUGUCGGUAAGAACACAGGGUCUCCUAUGGACAGAAGUGCGGGCAAGGAGC
RNAcentral lists this long non-coding RNA (334 nucleotides) under Homo sapiens (human). RNAcentral's name for it is "non-protein coding lnc-CCDC28A-1:11". Lineage: Eukaryota; Metazoa; Chordata; Mammalia; Primates; Hominidae. The record is from RNAcentral.